GACGAACGCUGGCGGCGUGCUUAACACAUGCAAGUCGAACGGAAAGGCCCUGCUUUUGUGGGGUGCUCGAGUGGCGAACGGGUGAGUAACACGUGAGUAACCUGCCCUUGACUUUGGGAUAACUUCAGGAAACUGGGGCUAAUACCGGAUAGGAGCUCCUGCUGCAUGGUGGGGGUUGGAAAGUUUCGGCGGUUGGGGAUGGACUCGCGGCUUAUCAGCUUGUUGGUGGGGUAGUGGCUUACCAAGGCUUUGACGGGUAGCCGGCCUGAGAGGGUGACCGGCCACAUUGGAACAGAGAUACGGCACAGACUCCUACGGGAGGCAGCAGUGGGGAAUAUUGCACAAUGGGCGGAAGCCUGAUGCAGCAACGCCGCGUGCGGGAUGACGGCCUUCGGGUUGUAAACCGCUUUCGCCUGUGACGAAGCGUGAGUGACGGUAAUGGGUAAAGAAGCACCGGCUAACUACGUG
This 468-nucleotide ribosomal RNA is filed under the name uncultured bacterium. Its description in RNAcentral is "partial 16S ribosomal RNA". It matches the Rfam family "Bacterial small subunit ribosomal RNA", at positions 28 to 507 of the family's 1533-position model. The record is from RNAcentral.